Molecule: long non-coding RNA, 938 nt
Organism: Morone saxatilis (striped sea-bass)
Lineage: Eukaryota; Metazoa; Chordata; Actinopteri; Moronidae
Exons: 2
Source: RefSeq, a predicted model, not a curated record
UGUCACUCCGCAUGAUAAAGUAGACUGCAGCUCACACAGCCCGGAGAGAGGCAGACAGCAGCAGUGCGACUGAGGCAGCCACUGGCAUGAACUGAGUUUACACGAAAGGGGAAUACUAACAACUGACAGAGACAACCUAUUGGGAUUUGCUUAAGGAUCUGUCUGUUGGACUCCAGCAGUCUCCGCACAUAACUGGAGCGAAAGACAAGAAAGGAGACAUCGCACAUCGGCCGAGUUGCCACUUCUCCUUUUCUACCGCAGGAGCCAUGGUGGCAGCAGUCCUGAAGAUAUACUUUAUUGGCACGGCGCUGAGUGUCCUGGCUGUCCUCUUUGGAUUAGCGGACUCCUUUGGUGGUCUGAUGUACGUCCAGGAGGACAUUCACCACAUGUUGGGGCUGGACCACCAGACAGAGACAAAGGGGCAGGUCUCCUCAGACGACCACCAGAGAGGAGCAUCUGUGACUAAAAACAUUGGCUCAUGAGGGGGAAACUCGUGUGGAAAUUGGGUCACUUUUUUUUUUUUUUUUAAGCGUGGCUGCUGGAAGGACACGCCGGAUACUGUGUGGCUAAUGGACUGACAAACAGGGAACCUGACUGAUUGUGCUGUUUCUACUGCCAAGUAUCAACAUCAUGGUGAUGGCUAACUUGCUGGACGUGUUCUGUUCCCUUUUUUUUUAUGUCUCGCCGCCCUAGAUUAGUUUGUUGAUAUGGACACGUAAUCCCUGCAGCAUGUCUCUAUUUGCUCUACUGUUUACCAUCUGCUGUCAAACACUGUAGCAGCUAGCUUGUGUCAAAGGCAACUACAAAUCUGACGUGUAACCGCACUACUGAACAAUGAUUUGCACUAAAAAUGAGGAAUGCUUUGGCUUUUGUCAGGGCAAAAUGUGGAUUUUGAGGUUGUUGUUUUUUUAAUAAAAUGAAUUAUGUGUUGUAAUGAG